Molecule: ribosomal RNA, 448 nt
Filed under: uncultured bacterium
Lineage: Bacteria
Description: bacterial SSU rRNA
Rfam family: Bacterial small subunit ribosomal RNA
Source: RNAcentral
AACGAACGCUGGCGGCAGGCUUAACACAUGCAAGUCGAGCGCCCCGCAAGGGGAGCGGCAGACGGGUGAGUAACGCGUGGGAAUCUACCCAUCUCUACGGAACAACUCCGGGAAACUGGAGCUAAUACCGUAUACGCCCUUCGGGGGAAAGAUUUAUCGGAGAUGGAUGAGCCCGCGUUGGAUUAGCUAGUUGGUGGGGUAAUGGCCUACCAAGGCGACGAUCCAUAGCUGGUCUGAGAGGAUGAUCAGCCACACUGGGACUGAGACACGGCCCAGACUCCUACGGGAGGCAGCAGUGGGGAAUAUUGGACAAUGGGCGCAAGCCUGAUCCAGCCAUGCCGCGUGAGUGAUGAAGGCCCUAGGGUUGUAAAGCUCUUUCAGCGGGGAAGAUAAUGACGGUACCCACAGAAGAAGCCCCGGCUAACUUCGUGCCAGCCGCCGCGUAAAC